This 1616-nucleotide long non-coding RNA is filed under the name Panax ginseng (ginseng). RNAcentral's name for it is "long non-coding RNA (PGIN_LNC009452)". The record is from RNAcentral. Lineage: Eukaryota; Viridiplantae; Streptophyta; Magnoliopsida; Apiales; Araliaceae.
AAAUUUCCCAGCUGGCAUGACUGACAAUCUACCAAAUAAUUAGCAAACCGUAUGUUGCUUAUCUAACAAACCAGCUAUGUUACAACUAACAAGUGAUCUGAUCUAAUAUAUCUCCCUCACCUAUACAUGUAGUUCCAUAUUUCUAAAGUUACUAGCAUUCCCCAUACUUUAGUUUUUCGUCUUUAACAAACAAAACUAAUAACUUAAGACAACACUUCAAAAUAUGCACUUUUAUUAUAUUUUUGACAAGUCAAUAUAUACAAUACAAUUUUCCCAUACGUCUUCAGCACUAAUCCGCAUAGAGACUAAAGUCAUGUAACUCAAUGGAUUACAACUUUACCAUGAAAACAGACAACGUACCUACCUACUAGUGUGGCUUGCAAGAAGGCAAAUCAAUAUGCACAAGCAGGAAUGGCGAAGUGGUUGUCAGAAUGCUCUUGCCACCUGAGAUGUCAUAUACCUGUUUUUUUAGAUCAGGGAGUUGAAGCAAAAAAUUAUACAUGUGUAAAGUGCACAAAGUUUCUCAUGUUCUAUGAGCACACUGUCUCGUGAUGUUGUCUAUUUCUUACAAUUAGAUUCCCAACAUAAAAGGAUUGAUAUAAUAUAACUUAAUUAAAUCUCAGGACUUUUGAGUGUCAUAAAAAUGUACUAUUUGUUCAUUCAUAUUUCCAAUUUUUCAUUUGAUAAAUAACAGCUAAGAUAUGAUAGGCAUUUUAAUAAAUUAAACAAAAAACUGAUAGGUUCCACUAAUUAAAAGAAUUGUCAUAUACUUCAUGCAAAUGACAAGUUACAAACUGGCAGCAGCGGCACAUUAACUCAAACAAAUGGCAUCCUUAGCAUUCUUUAGUCAACAUAACUUCACACAAAAAAAUAACUGCCAGUGUUCAACUAUAUUAUAAUGAAAUGCAUAAGACCAGUAAAAGAGAACCUUAGGAUCAUUAAUCAAAUGUAUAACUUCAGUUCACAAAAGCCAAUGUCAAACUUUCACAUUCCCCCUUUGGAAUUACCUUUCUCGUCUGCAAAUCCCAACCAACCAUGCUAUGGGCAUUGAUCCCAGAAAUGCCUGAAUGAAUUCUUGCACCCAAAAUUCUAAACACCAAGGUCAAUUACCAAAAUCCAAAAUGGAACUGCAACUCCUUCAAUUCAUUCUGUUCCUUAUGAGAGAAACAUAAUACAGCCACAGGUCUGCUGCUGAACAAAUGUUAGACAGCAACACAUAAUUUGCCAGAAUUGAGAAAUUCAAGUUCAAAAAUUGGACUUGCGACCUUUUUUCCUAAUAUGCAACUUACACCCGAUGAUCCCUUGGCUGAUUUUCUGUGGCGUCGACCAUCCCCGUUAAACCCUACCAAUUGAUGACCCGAAUUUAUUAGCUUUGCAUUUCUAACUGAAGAAAUCAAAUUUAUUAUAAAUUUCAUUUCUUCAAUCAUUAAAGCAGGAAACCAAGACACCAGAUAUAAAUUCGGGAGAGGAGGGAAGGCGGUAGUUUGUUAAAUGGGUGGGGGAAUCCUUCAGAAAACCGGCCGGAUCCUCGGCUGUAUACCAUGACCUUGAGAGUAAUCAGGGAAGGACUAAGGGCAACCUUUUUGUAAGAUCAAUUACUUAUUUUAUUACAUUUU